Long non-coding RNA from Lates calcarifer (barramundi perch), 281 nucleotides. RefSeq lists it as uncharacterized. NCBI's taxonomy places the organism in Eukaryota, Metazoa, Chordata, Actinopteri, Centropomidae. The record is from RefSeq and is a predicted model, not a curated record. The transcript has 2 exons.
GCGGCCGUAAAGGAGUCAACGCCUGGACCAAUCACAGACCAGAACGCGCAGGGUACGCAUGACGCAGACACGUUGGACGCAUAAAGUAGGUCCAGAGACUGAAAAAAGAGCAACAGAAAGGAUACAAAGUCCCGCAGCUGGCCGAAUAUCUCAUCCACCUUCCCGAUCUGCUCCUUGUUUUCCAAGUACACUGGCGCAUUAAAGUAGGGAACUUUAUUUUCUUCUGUUGUGCACUUACACACAAUGUCAUCUUCACAUGGAUGCAUGAAUUCUCCCAGUGC